This 70-nucleotide non-coding RNA is filed under the name Schistosoma curassoni. The record is from RNAcentral. Lineage: Eukaryota; Metazoa; Platyhelminthes; Trematoda; Strigeidida; Schistosomatidae.
UCAGUAACUCCGCCUGUAGCUCUUAUAGGGUUGCUGCCGGUCCCAAGCCCGGGUAAAGGAGGAGGGUUGG